GACAGAGGUUGCAAACGUUGUUCGGAAUCACUGGGCAUAAAGCGCACGUAGGCGGUCUGUUAAGUCAGGGGUGAAAGCCCCCGGCUCAACCGGGGAAUUGCAUUUGAUACUGGCAGGCUCGAGAACGGUAGGGGUGAGUGGAACUCCAGGUGGAGCGGUGAAAUGCGUAGAUAUCGGGAGGAACACCAGUGGCGAAGGCGACUACCUGGCCUGUUCUUGACGCUGAGGCGCGAAAGCUAGGGGGGCAAACGGG
This 253-nucleotide ribosomal RNA is filed under the name uncultured bacterium. RNAcentral's name for it is "partial 16S ribosomal RNA". It matches the Rfam family "Bacterial small subunit ribosomal RNA", at positions 524 to 776 of the family's 1533-position model. The record is from RNAcentral.